UCUUUUCUGUAAAGGGGCACAGAGAAAAGGCAUUGGUGCUGGAAGGGAUUUGCAUGUUCAAGAAAGAGUUUUAUUUAAAGUGAGAGAAAUUACAGCAUGUUUGACUGUAUGAUAAUAAGAAUGGUCUAGCCUGGCAUGGUGGCUAACACCUGUAAUCCCAGCACUUUGGGAGGCUGAGGCAGGCAGAUCAUGAGGUCAGGAGUUGACCAACAUGGUGAAACCCCGUCUCUACUAAAAAUACAAAAAUUAGCCAGGCAUGGUGGCACACGCCUAUAAUCCCAGAUAGGAGGCUGAGGCAGGAGAAUCACUUGAACCUGGGAGGCAGAGGUUGCAGUGAGCCGAGAUCACACCACUGUACUCCAGCCUGGGCAACAGAGUGAGACCCCGUCUCAACAAAAAAAAACAACAACAAAAACAACAACAACAACAACAACAACAAAAAGAAUGGUCUAGAAGAAAGAAGACUGGAAUGAUGAAGCAGAAGAGAAGGGAGGCUUACAUAACAUCUUGCGGUAAUGAAAGGGGAUGGAAUCUGGUAUAGGAUCCAGAUCCGGGACUUGAGCAUAGCAGAUUUUGGCAUCUGCGGGUUGUCCUGAAACCAGUGCCCCACAGAUAUGGAGAGCUGACUGCAUUCCAAGUGAAGUUCAUGAGGAUUCCUAGAGCAGAAAAGAAGACAGCAAGCUUAGAGGGUGAGUUCCUCAAAUUUUGGAAUAGUGUAUUACAUUUUUCAUCUUAUCUCCGGCCCCAGAAAAAUGAUUGGUUAGGGAAGACCUCCCUCAUAGUGAAAUUCCUUCAUUAAAAUUAUCUCAAGUCAA
This 815-nucleotide long non-coding RNA is filed under the name Homo sapiens (human). RNAcentral describes it as "long non-coding RNA NONHSAT176491.1". The record is from RNAcentral. Lineage: Eukaryota; Metazoa; Chordata; Mammalia; Primates; Hominidae.